RNAcentral lists this ribosomal RNA (496 nucleotides) under uncultured Actinomycetes bacterium. Its description in RNAcentral is "bacterial SSU rRNA". It matches the Rfam family "Bacterial small subunit ribosomal RNA", at positions 246 to 756 of the family's 1533-position model. The record is from RNAcentral. Lineage: Bacteria; Bacillati; Actinomycetota; Actinomycetes.
UUGUUGGUGGGGUAAUGGCCUACCAAGGCGACGACGGGUAGCCHGKKUGAGAGGGCGACCGGCCACACUGGGACUGAGACACGGCCCAGACUCUACGGGAGGCAGCAGUGGGGAAUAUUGCGCAAUGGGCGAAAGCCUGACGCAGCAACGCCGCGUGAGGGAUGACGGCUUCGGGUUGUAAACCUCUUUCAGCAGGGACGAAGCGAAAGUGACUGUACCUGCAGAAGAAGCGCCGGCUAACUACGUGCCAGCAGCCGCGGUAAUACGUAGGGCGCAAGCGUUGUCCGGAUUUAUUGGGCGUAAAGAGUUCGUAGGCGGUCUGUCGCGUCGGAAGUGAAAUCCCGGAGCUCAACUCCGGGCCUGCUUUCGAUACGGGCAGACUUGAGUGUUGCAGGGGAGACUGGAAUUCCUGGUGUAGCGGUGGAAUGCGCAGAUAUCAGGAAGAACACCGGUGGCGAAGGCGGGUCUCUGGGCAACAACUGACGCUGAGGAACGA